UGACAGCAGCAGCGGUAAUACGGAGGGUGCGAGCGUUAAUCGGAAGUCCUGGGCGUAAAGCGCAUGCAGGUGGUUCAUUAAGUCAGAUGUGAAAGCCCGGGGCUCAACCUCGGAACUGCAUUUGAAACUGGUGAACUAGAGUGCUGUAGAGGGGGGUAGAAUUUCAGGUGUAGCGGUGAAAUGCGUAGAGAUCUGAAGGAAUACCAGUGGCGAAGGCGGACCCCUGGACAGACACUGACACUCAGAUGCGCAAGCGUUGGGCGCAAACAGGAUUAGAUA
This 279-nucleotide ribosomal RNA is filed under the name uncultured bacterium. RNAcentral's name for it is "partial 16S ribosomal RNA". It matches the Rfam family "Bacterial small subunit ribosomal RNA", at positions 506 to 784 of the family's 1533-position model. The record is from RNAcentral.